GAUGAACGCUGGCGGCGUGCCUAAUACAUGCAAGUCGAGCGAACAGACGAGGAGCUUGCUCCUUUGACGUUAGCGGCGGACGGGUGAGUAACACGUAGGUAACCUACCUAUAAGACUGGGAUAACUUCGGGAAACCGGAGCUAAUACCGGAUAAUAUUUCGAACCGCAUGGUUCGAUAGUGAAAGAUGGCUUUGCUAUCACUUAUAGAUGGACCUGCGCCGUAUUAGCUAGUUGGUAAGGUAACGGCUUACCAAGGCAACGAUACGUAGCCGACCUGAGAGGGUGAUCGGCCACACUGGAACUGAGCCACGGUCCAGACUCCUACGGGAGGCAGCAGUAGGGAAUCUUCCGCAAGGGGCGAAAGCCUGACGGAGCAACGCCGCGUGAGUGAUGAAGGUCUUCGGAUCGUAAAACUCUGUUAUUAGGGAAGAACAAACGUGUAAGGAACUGUGCACGUCUUGACGGUACCUAAUCAGAAAGCCACGGCUAACUACGUG
Molecule: ribosomal RNA, 497 nt
Filed under: uncultured bacterium
Lineage: Bacteria
Description: partial 16S ribosomal RNA
Rfam family: Bacterial small subunit ribosomal RNA
Source: RNAcentral